AAUUGAUGAGAAAAAAAAACUAGAGGCUCUAAAGAGCCUGUGUCGCUCACCUUGGUCUAUGUGACUAUUAAACAAAAGAAGCAGAUGGAUUCAUGACAAAAUUGUAAUUUGGUGAUGUUGGUGUGUUUGUACAUCUUACUUUACUGAACAUCCUUGCUGCUUACAAUUAUCUCUAUCUAUAAUGAACUUGGCCCAGUAGUUUCAGUGGAAAAUGUUAGUAAAAAUUUACAAAUUUUAUAAAAAUUGUUGAAAAUUGACUAUAAAGGACAAUAACUCCUUAGGGGGUCAAUUGACCAUUUCGGGUCAUGUUGACUUAUUUGUAAAUCUUACUUUGCUGAACAUUAUUGCUGUUUACAGUUUAUCUCUAUCUAUAAUAAUAUUCAAGACAAUAACCAAAAACAGCAAAAUUUCCUUAAAAUUACCAAUUCAGGGGCAGCAACCCAACAACGGGUUGUCCGAUUCAUCUGAAAAUUUCGGGGCAGAUAGAUCUUGACCUGAUAAACAAUUUUAACCCAUGUCAGAUUUGCUCUAAACGCUUUGGUUUUUGAGUUAUAAGCCAAAAACUGCAUUUUACCCCUAUGUUCUAUUUUUAGCCAUGGCGGCCAUCUUGGUUGGAUGGCCGGGUCAUCGAACACAUUUUUUAAACUAGAUACCCCAAAGAUGAUUGUAGAUAAGUUUGGAUUAAUUUGGCCCAGUAGUUUCAGAGGAGAAGAUUUUUGUAAAAGAUUACUAAGAUUUACGAAAAAUGGUUAAAAAUUGACUAUAAAGGGCAAUAACUCCUUAGGGGGUCAACUGACCAUUUCGGUCAUGUUGACUUAUUUGUAAAUCUUACUUUGCUGAACAUAAUGGCUGUUUACAGUUUAUCUCUAUCUAUAAUAAUAUACAAGAUAAUAACCAAAAACAGCAAAAUUUCCUUAAAAUUACUAAUUCAGGGGCAGCAACCCAACAACAGGUUGUCAGAUUCAUCUGAAAAUUUCAGGGUAGAUAGAUCUUCACCUGAUAAACAAUUUUACCAAAUGUCAGAUUUGCUCUAAAUGCUUUGGUUUUUAAGUUAUAAGCAAAAAACUGCAUUUUACCCUUAUGUUCUAUUUUUAGCCGUGGCGGCCAUCUUGGUUGGUUGGCCGGGUCACCGGACACAUUUUUUAAACUAGAUACCCCAAAGAUAAUUGUGGCCAAGUUUGGAUAAAUUUGGCCCAGUAGUUUCAGAGGAGAAGAUUUUUGUAAAAGAUUACUAAGAUUUACGAAAAAUGGUUAAAAAUUGACUAUAAAGGGCAAUAACUCCUAUAUGGGUCAACUGACCAUUUCGGUCAUGUUGACUUAUUUGUAAAUCUUACUUUGCUGAACAUUAUUGCUGUUUACAGUUUAUCUCUAUCUAUAAUAAUAUUCAAGAUAAUAACCAUAUAACGGCAAAAUUUCCUUAAAAUUGCCAAUUCAGGGGCAGCAACCCAACAACGGGUUGUCCGAUUCGUCUGAAAAUUUCAGGGCAGAUAGAUCUUGACUUAAUAAACAAUUUAACCCCCAUGUCAGAUUUGCUCUAAAUGCUUCGGUUUCAGAGUUAUAAGCCAAAAACUGCAUUUGACCCCUAUGUUCUAUUUUUAGCCAUGGCGGCCAUCUUGGUUGGUUGGCCGGGUAACCGAACACAUUUUUUAAACUAGAUACCCCAAUGAUGAUUGUGGCCAAGUUUGGUUAAAUUUGGCCCAGUAGUUUCAGAGGAGAAGAUUUUUGUAAAAGUUAACGACGCCAGACGACGACGGACGACGGACGCCAAGUGCUGAGAAAAGCUCACUAGGCCCUUUGGGCCAGGUGAGCUAAAAAUAUU
This 1819-nucleotide long non-coding RNA is filed under the name Mytilus galloprovincialis (Mediterranean mussel). Lineage: Eukaryota; Metazoa; Mollusca; Bivalvia; Mytilida; Mytilidae. The record is from RNAcentral.